AUUUUAGUAGCUUAUAUUUAGAGCAUUAUAUUGAAGAUAUAAAGGAAAAUUUUAUUCUAAAAUA
This 64-nucleotide transfer RNA is filed under the name Trifida elongata. RNAcentral's name for it is "tRNA-Phe". Lineage: Eukaryota; Metazoa; Arthropoda; Insecta; Hemiptera; Cicadellidae. The record is from RNAcentral.